UACGUAGGGUGCAAGCGUUGUCCGGAAUUAUUGGGCGUAAAGAGCUCGUAGGCGGUUUGUCGCGUCUGUCGUGAAAGCUUGGGGCUUAACCCCAAGUCUGCGGUGGAUACGGGCAGACUAGAGGCAGGUAGGGGAGAACGGAAUUCCCGGUGUAGCGGUGAAAUGCGCAGAUAUCGGGAGGAACACCAAUGGCGAAGGCAGCUCGCUGGGACGGUACUGACGCUGAGACGCGAAAGCGUGGGGAGCAAACAGG
RNAcentral lists this ribosomal RNA (253 nucleotides) under uncultured bacterium. RNAcentral's name for it is "partial 16S ribosomal RNA". It matches the Rfam family "Bacterial small subunit ribosomal RNA", at positions 524 to 776 of the family's 1533-position model. The record is from RNAcentral.